RNAcentral lists this ribosomal RNA (928 nucleotides) under Gyalolechia desertorum. Its description in RNAcentral is "eukaryotic LSU rRNA". It matches the Rfam family "Eukaryotic large subunit ribosomal RNA", at positions 1 to 942 of the family's 3401-position model. The record is from RNAcentral. Lineage: Eukaryota; Fungi; Ascomycota; Lecanoromycetes; Teloschistales; Teloschistaceae.
AAUUGACCUCGGAUCAGGUAGGGAUACCCGCUGAACUUAAGCAUAUCAAUAAGCGGAGGAAAAGAAACCAACCGGGAUUGCCCCAGUAACGGCGAGUGAAGCGGCAACAGCUCAAAUUUGAAAUCUGACCCUGUCGGGGUUCGAGUUGUAAUUUGUAGAGGAUGUUUCGGGCGCGAAGCCGGUCUAAGUCCCUUGGAACGGGGCGUCAUAGAGGGUGAGAAUCCCGUCUGUGACCGGCGAUCAAGCCUCUGUGAAACUCCUUCGACGAGUCGAGUUGUUUGGGAAUGCAGCUCAAAAUGGGUGGUAAAUUUCAUCUAAAGCUAAAUACUGGCCAGAGACCGAUAGCGCACAAGUAGAGUGAUCGAAAGAUGAAAAGCACUUUGGAAAGAGAGUUAAAAAGUACGUGAAAUUGUUGAAAGGGAAGCGCUUGCAACCAGACCUGCCCGCGGGCGAUCAGCCGUCCCUUCCAGGGCGGUGCACGCGCCCGCGAACAGGCCAGCAUCGGUUCGGGCGGCCGGAUAAAGGCCCGGGGAACGUAGCUCCUCUCGGGGAGUGUUAUAGCCCCGGGUGCAAUGCGGCCCGCCUGGACCGAGGACCGCGCUUCGGCUAGGAUGCUGGCGUAAUGGUUGUAAGCGGCCCGUCUUGAAACACGGACCAAGGAGUCUAACAUCUAUGCGAGUGUUUGGGUGUCAAACCCAUGCGCGUAAUGAAAGUGAACGGAGGUAGGAACCCACCAGGGCGCACUAUCGACCGAUCCUGAAGUCUUCGGAUGGAUUUGAGUACGAGCAUAGCUGUUGGAACCCGAAAGAUGGUGAACUAUGCCUGAAUAGGGUGAAGCCAGAGGAAACUCUGGUGGAGGCUCGCAGCGGUUCUGACGUGCAAAUCGAUCGUCAAAUUUGGGUAUAGGGGCGAAAGACUAAUNGGGCCU